UGUUAAAUUGAAAGGAUUUUCAAACUAUCGUUUCUAAGAAAGUUCGUGGAAUAUCUUGUUUGAACAUUAAAAUUAAAAAGAAAUAUCGAGUUCUCGGAUAGAAUUUUUUAUGUCAUUUCUAUUGUUCGUUUCGAUAAAUUUAUUUCUUUAAGACCUAAACUCGACGAAAAUACAGGAAUUAGAAGAGUUAUGGCAUUUGCCACUCGUUUUUGUGGAUGGCCAUGUAGAUUUCGCAGAACAGAUGGAAAAAUACAUAAUAAUUUAAUUAACAAAACCUAUUCAAGGCGGACAGAAAAAACAUUGAUAAUAUGAUACAAAGAAAGUGAUCAGAGAUAAUAAAAUAUCCAAUUCAGAUGCAACAGAUGAGAUGGAUAGUCUUUCAGGAGACUAUCUAUCUCAAGAUUAUAUAUAAUACUUUAAAAGAAGAUGUUGAUAAUUUAGAAACUAUAUUUGAAAAAUAUAGAUAUCAUUUCUCGUUUGUUCUUAAUUUAGAAUUCAAAAAACUUCUAUAACAAAUGAUUCUAAUGGUUCAGAUGAUGUACAAGAAAUUCUUUUUUAUUUCUAAUUUGGAUUGGAAUUGUAAAAGAAAAGACAUCUAUUGAUCAGAUAUAAUCGAUAAAUUCAUAUUUAUCUGAGAAAAGCACAAUCUUAAAUAAGACUGCUGAUAUCACUUUGUAUGUAUCCGAGUUGAAUCAGUGAUAAUAUUUUUAUAAUUCUAUCAAAAAAUUUAACAAAAGUUUUACAAUAC
Long non-coding RNA from Vespa mandarinia (Asian giant hornet), 748 nucleotides. The record is from RefSeq and is a predicted model, not a curated record. NCBI's taxonomy places the organism in Eukaryota, Metazoa, Arthropoda, Insecta, Hymenoptera, Vespidae.